RNAcentral lists this ribosomal RNA (716 nucleotides) under uncultured cyanobacterium. RNAcentral's name for it is "bacterial SSU rRNA". It matches the Rfam family "Bacterial small subunit ribosomal RNA", at positions 57 to 765 of the family's 1533-position model. The record is from RNAcentral. Lineage: Bacteria; Bacillati; Cyanobacteriota.
GCAGUCGCAGGGUAGGAUGUAGCAUACAUCUGAGACUGGCGCACGGGUGCGUAACGCGUAGGCAACCUGGCCUGGAGAGGGGGAUAACACCGCGAAAGCGGUGCUAAUACCGCGUAAAGCGACGUUACCGCAUGGUAAUGUUGUUAAAGUCGUAGCGAUACGGCGCUUCAGGAUGGGCCUGCGUCCGAUUAGUUAGUUGGCAGGGUAGUGGCCUACCAAGACGAUGAUCGGUAGCUGGUCUGAGAGGAUGAUCAGCCACACGGGGACUGAGACACGGCCCCGACUCCUACGGGAGGCAGCAGUGAGGAAUAUUGCGCAAUGGGCGAAAGCCUGACGCAGCCACGCCGCGUGCCGGAAGAAGGUUCUCUGAAUUGUAAACGGCUUUUGACAGGGAAGAGUGCUUGGGUUUCGACCCGAAAGAGACGGUACCUGUUGAAUAAGCACCGGCUAACUCCGUGCCAGCAGCCGCGGUAAUACGGGAGUGGCAAGCGUUAUCCGGAAUUAUUGGGCGUAAAGCGUCCGCAGGCGGUUUUGUAAGUCUGUUGUUAAAGCGUGGAGCUUAACUCCAUUUCAGCAAUGGAAACUACAAGACUAGAGUGUGGUAGGGGCAGAGGGAAUUCCCGGUGUAGCGGUGAAAUGCGUAGAUAUCGGGAAGAACACCAGUGGCGAAGGCGCUCUGCUGGGCCAUAACUGACGCUCAUGGACGAAGGCCAGGG